Molecule: non-coding RNA, 241 nt
Organism: Pelobates cultripes (western spadefoot toad)
Lineage: Eukaryota; Metazoa; Chordata; Amphibia; Anura; Pelobatidae
Source: the annotation of a GenBank genome assembly
GUUCUUUUUAAAGAGGGACUGACAUUUUGUCUAGCCUCUGAGUAAAUUUUUACAAGAUUGCUUAAUGGGUUACUCCAUGACUAGGUCUGCUUUAAGAAGUGCUCAUUAAAGGGACACUAUAGGCACCCAUACCACUUCAUCUCAUUGAUGUGGUCUGGAUGCAUAGUCAUUUUAGUCCUGCAGCUGCAAACAUUGCAGAUUCAGCCAAACGGCAAUUGAUUAAUUUGCAGGAUUAAGUCUG